GUCUAUGGCCAUACCACUCUGAAUGAGCCUGAUUUUGGAAGUUAAGCAGGGUCGAUCCUGGUUAGUACUUGGAAGGAAGACCAACUGGACUUUCUAAUAGUGCAAUCAAGGCA
Molecule: ribosomal RNA, 113 nt
Organism: Aotus nancymaae (Ma's night monkey)
Lineage: Eukaryota; Metazoa; Chordata; Mammalia; Primates; Aotidae
Source: Ensembl